GGACCCGCCACCGCCACCGCCCGCCCGACGGGACGGCCCCGCCGCCCGCCUCGGCACCGGUACCGGCACCGCGGACCCCCGCGACCGGCCACGUCGGAAGGCAGCGGCUGCUCGCCGGCCAGGACGGAGGUAGCUGCUGGCCUCCCAUCCACCCUGGCUGUGGGACGCCCUGUAUGACCUGUUGGACAUUGUUGCAUUUAGCCAAGAGCAUUUGGUAGCUGAUGGCUGGAUCCUAAGGACACCUUUUCCCUGGAGAGCAGGGCCUUGGUGACCAUGUAGAGACCAGCAUGCUGUGGACAGGCAUACCCGUGUGGCUCAUGAACCACCUCUGAGCAGCAGUGUCUUGACCCAGCAAUGUACGUUCACUUCAUCUGUCUUACAGGUUAUGUUUGUACAUCUCAGUCUGAUUUAGAUUUUUUCCAUCAAAAUGUAACUGUUGUCUAAAGUGUGUAUAUGUGAUGCUUUAUAAAGCCUUUUCUUCCAGCCAACACACUACCCAUCCUGCCAUCUCCGUUUUCUAUUUAAGAAUUUGAUUAUUCCUUCUUAAAUAUUCUACUUUAUACUUGCCUUUACUGAAGUGACUCCUGUUAUUUUCAGACUAUUUCUUUAAGUUAUCAAGACCAUUUUGAAUUCUAAUAUUUUCAAAUGUGCCUGCAGUCCCUCACAGAUUAAUGCCACCUUCAAAUUUAAUAAUUAUGUUCUCAUUCCAUCAUCUAAGUCAUUAAUGAAAACAUUGAAUAACAUCUGCUACAGGAACAAUCACUGCAAAAUCUCAGCUGAUGAAUCACUUCAACUUGACAAUUAAAUGUGAGCAGUUUUAAGCUACCCUUGUACUGAGUCUGUAGAAUCUGCCUUUGGGCCAUGCUUCCGUAACUUGUUUAUGAGUAUGUCGUGUGAGACCAGUGUCAUAAACCUUACUGAAGGCACAUGACAUAUACUGUUCCUGCCUCAUCCACAAAACCUUUUACCCUGUCAAGAAGGAAAUUGGAUUGUGUUAACGUGAUUUAUUCUUGACACGUUCCUAUUAACUUCAAUUUUCUUCAGCCUUAUCAUCUAGAUGCUUGCAAAAUAUGUGUUUGAUUAUUUGUUUUGGGAUUUUUUCCAGAAAUAGAAGUUCAGAUCAUGGCUCCGUUAUUUCCUGACUCCCACCACUCCCUCCCUUUACUCAAAUGAAAGGCUUUUUCUCUGCCUGGGGACAGGAUUUGCAAAAGCUCUCCAUGGUGGCCAAUAUCUUCAGAGAGUAGCCUUAGGUCAAUGUUUCCUUUGGGCUUUUGAAAAAUCUCUUCUCCAUCUGCACAGAAGACCAUGAAAACCAGGGAAGAUGCUGUCCCUGCACUGUCUUUCUUUGAUACUACCCAUUUUUGUGGCAUGCAAAUCACGAGGGCUUUUCCUCUCUGCUCCCAGCCAGGUGAUGGCCUACUGCUGUAACAGGAAUAGAGAUGCUCUGCUGCAAAUGUGCCAAGCCCACUCAUUCACCCACCGCUGUGUUACGAAUGUGCGCUGUGCACUGGCAGGCUCACCAGCUGUGCUCAGGUUCAGCAGAAGCCCAUUAGGCUGAUUUUAGAAUAACUUGCUUAUCGGUUAGCUUCUUCUGGAGAGGACUCUGAUGCUGAGAAUUAGUGAUGGGUGAUGUAAUUUGCAUCUUUCAGGAGGACAAUGAGAGACAAAUUAACAGCACUGUGAUACCGUUAAGUAUUAUGAUGCUAAUUUUUCAUCUAAAGGGUCAGAGGGUUUCAGGCAGCUGUGAAAGGGUGUCUUUCUGUUCUCCCUCACCCUCCCACUCCCCAUUUAAUUUUAAUCGGCAGUGGCAGCGGAGCACAUGUCAGUGCUGGGAGCACUAGGAAGCUAAGGUCCCUUUGCAGUCUCUCUCUGCCUUCCCUGCCUGUUCUGGGCAUGAGAUUUACAAUGUGGCCAUGAAGCCAUAUUCACACCUAUUCACACCCUGGUGAGACCCCAUCUAGAAUAUUGUGUCCAGUUCUGGGCCCCUCAGUUCAAGAAGGACAGGGAACUGCUGGAGAGGGUCCAGCCUAGGGCAACAAAGAUGAUUAAGGGAGUGGAGCACCUCCGUUAUGAAGAAAGGCUGAGGGAGCUUGGUCUCUUUAGCUUGGAGGAGACUGAGGGGUGACCUUAUUAAUGUUUAUAAAUAUAUAAAGGGUGAGUGCCAUGAGGAUGGAGCCAGGCUCUUCUCGGUGGCAAACAAUUAUAGGGCAAGGGGUAAUGGGAUCAAACUGGAACACAAGAGGUUCCGCUUAAAUUUGAGAAAAAACUUCUUCUCAGUGAGGGUGACAGAACACUGGAACAGGCUGCCCAGGGGGGUUGUGGAGUCUCCUUCCCUGAAGACAUUCAAAACCCACCUGGACAUGUUCCUGUGUGACCUCAUCUAGGCAUUCCUGCUCUGGCAGGGGGAUUGGACUAGAUGAUCUUUUGAGGUUCCUUCCAAUCCCAAACAUACUGUGAUACUGUGAUACACCAUAUCAUGGUGAUGCUUGUGAUCUGUUUGGGUACCCAGAAGCAGCCUCACAAGGUCAGAGCACUGAGCCUGCCCCUGGUCUUGCUUUCGACAGAUGCCUGUGGUGACCAUGAGCUUCUGGAGCAAACUUCAGCAUGGCCCUAGUAAGCCUAAAAUAAAGGUUUAACCUUCAGUGGUGGCUACUGACAACUGAUAGCCACCAAACACAGCCUGACACAGGCAAGCUGGAAUGGCAGUGGGCAGAGAGUAGCUGUAUCACAACAGAUCUACCCAUAAGGCAUAACAUAUAUAGGCCCCUAAAAUUAAUGUAAUGUGGAAAGAGAGGAGCAGCAGGGAAGGAAGGCAGUUGUGCACCAUGGAGAGGUCAGCCUGCUGUGUGCAUGCGUCCAUCUGAAACCCUUUCAUGCUAGGUAUGCCUUGAGGAAAACCGGUCUAUGCAAGUGGCUUCAGGCACAGUCAGUGGCAUAUGUGAACAAUAGUCCAGAUGCCAUGGCUGAGAUGAAAGCCUUUAUUAGUCAGCACCGUUCAGACACACACAGCUGAGCAGCUCUGGGGUUAGAAACUGAAAAGCCCAGGGCAUAUGGGGAGGACAGCCUCUUCUUUUAACCACUCCCCAGCCUGACAGAUUGCGGCAUGAAAGGGAGUCAGUCACUGCUGAAUUGCCAGAGCAGGCGGUGACUGUGGGCAGUGGCGGGGAGGGAUAAUCCCCCAGGAACAAAGAGCAAACUCUCCUUGUUCCCUGGUGCUGGUGGCACAGCUGAUGGUACAGCAAGAUGAAGGUGCCAGCAUGGGCAUACUGCUGAGCAUCCCUGCCACUGUGCCCACCUGUGCUUCUGUGCCACCGCCUGGGAAGCACAGCUCAGGUCUUUUCCACCCAACAGCCAUGGAAAAGGAAGCACUGCCAAAGCUGUGGAGCACGCAGGUGGGACCAGGUGACAGAAAACAUAGGGACAGGCACUGCUACCUCAUCUCAAGAUGGGCCUCUUUGGCUUGUCAUAAAUGAUUUGCAAGUAGAUAAGAGAAGGAAUCCUCUUGUUCAAAAGCACUUUGUAGCACAGUUCUUCCCCUUUCCUACACACUCCUAGGACAUAGUAAGGACAGCAGUGGGCACAGGGGUGUAGUGAAUGUGGGACAUCUAUUUUGCGUUGUGGAGCUUGGUAUCUGAUCUUCACUGGGUGGCAAGGAUACCUCCCCAUCACCGCUGGGACAUGUGAAACUGGUCCUGUUUGGGAGGGCUGGAUACGGGAUGGGAAAGGGCUAUGCAGGCAGUGAGGGAGAGGUGGAGAGGAUGGGUGUAGGGAAAUGUCUGGCAAAGUGCAAGAUCGGGCAAGGCUGGGGGGUCAAUCUGGUGCUGAGAAGCUGGAGGAGAAGCUGUGCAUGAUAGAGGCCAGUAAGAUGUGGGAACGGGAGAAGGGUGAGGGGAGGGGUGUUAUGCUAUUUGGAAUUAAACCUUUGGCAUACCUUUGAGUUGUCCCAUCCAGCUUCUGGCGAUGCCUGUGAGAGCCUUACCCUCUGGGGCCAGCAUUGCUGAGCCCCACUGGUGUGUGUGCUGGAAGGGCUAACCCUCUAACCACACUUGUAAUUACUGCUGGUGAUAAAUAGAUUUUCUGCGCUUAAAUAAAGCCCUAUUAAGUUGAUAUGAAUCAGAUUCAAUAAAUUAUUCCAAAUUAAUUUAGGCAACAGCCUCUCUAUGAAAAGUCCAGUUAAUGAGAGAGAGAUUUGUGUCCAGAGGGUGAUGGGUGGGUGGAGGAGGGGGCUGUGCCAUGCACAAUGGUCUUUCAGUGUCAUAUUCUUCACAGAGGGGAUUUUUAUUUAUUCUUCUCUUUUUUUAUUCUAGGAUGAUACAAAGGAGGAGAAAAGAACUCCUUUUCUGCCCCCAAACUGGAAAUGAAAGUUGCAGCUGUGCAAGCAGCACCCGCCUUGAUUUGUCUGAGAGAAAGGCCCCGGUUAAAUGAGGGGAGGCUCCCAGCAACUAACAAAUUAUAUUGCAGGGGAGGAAAGAUUCAAGCCUCUCUUGUUUGGUGCUGCUUCAUUUAUUGAGCAGUAUUAACCCUUCUGUCUGCUGCUUUGUUUGCUGGCUUGAAGCCAUCCCCAGAGAGGCUCCCUGGAUGAGCUCGUGGUGACCUCACCCUGGUGCAGCUCCUCAGAGGGGUCGAGGGGGCACAUAUAGCCUCCAAAUAACCCCAGCAUCUGCUGCACCGCCUCAUUAGGGGACUGAGAGUUAACGCUGUAUGGCAGCCCCUAUGUGCCCUACAUUGGUAAUUAGCUUUCUGAGGGGAGGACUGGGACCAGCUGAAAGGGAAAGAAGAUUCAUCACCAGCAGUGGGGAGGGAAAGGGUUUCUUUCCAUUGCUAACCAUGCUGGCUUCCCAUAGGGUCUGCCUUUAACAUCUUCCUUUUGAUUUUCUUUUGCUAAGCAGUAAGCUGAGCUAUGGAGAUAAUUUGUCUCCUGAUGCUUUCAGCUCUGUCUUUGCCAAACAGUGGAGUAUGAGAUGCUUAUGGGUUCAUUAGAUGAUUUAGAUGAUUCAGGGGACCCUAGUAUUUCUGCAGGGGAAAAUGUGAGGUGAAUGUUUCUAAUGGGUAGGUAGAACCUCCAAGCCGAGUAUACAGAGAGAUGUGGGAUUCUGGGCUGGAGAAGAACCUCCCAACCUCCCACAUCCCAGAAAAAAAGAACUGGACAAGAAGAAAAGAAAAAGAGUUAAAAAACAAACUAAAAAUAGAAACUACUUGAGUGCUUACAAAUUAAAACAAAUGAGGAUAUUCUGUGAUUUAAAAAAAUGAACACGGGUAUUGAGAAGUAAAAUGCGAAGAGGCAUGCAUUAUGGAAAUAAACAGAGUGAGUCAGGGUUAAAAUAGGUAAAUAUUGAGAGCGUGCAAUGUUUAACAUUUACUAACUAUGAGAGCAGGAAGGGAUUAAGACUCAAGCAGCAAUGAAAAAAGAGCAUUUUAAUGAACAGCAAACCUUCUUUCCCCCUGCAAUUAAGCAGCUUUAGCUGCAGAACGGGACAGUCAAUGACUGUGAGACACGCAAGGAAGAGGAAAGCAAAGCGACCAAAUGAGAUGAACAAUCAGGCGUAUUUGGAGUUGAACUUAAUUGUUGCUUGAGGUAAUAAACAUCCAACUUUGAGGUCAGACCCUAAUGCUUUUGUUUUCCAUUUUAUUUUCCUUGGAGAGUAGUUACACAAGUCAGUGUAAGGGUAGUGGCUCACAAGGCUGAAGUUGGCACCCACAGUCCUCCAGCGGCUGAGAUGCCGUGUCCCCCCCGCCCUCCCCCCAGCCUGUGUCUAAUCUGGUUGUUGCCCAGGAGGCUCUUCUGGACUGUGAGUUGUUCAGAACUCUCCCUAUUUGUCUGUGCAGCCUCUGAGCUGCAACUGGAGCAGCAAAUCGUAAGAAUUACUGGUUUGAAACAGCAAACUUGUCCUCUGUGAGAGUUAAAAUGCAAUUAUGUAGCUAUGUACAAUGAGGAGGGUUGAUGCUCAUAUUGGAAAUAGGGAAAACCACAAUAAUGGGACUGAAUUCAAGAAAAAUGCCAUGAUUUUUGACUUAUGAAAGGGAAAACAGCAUUCCUUGUCAGUCACUCACUCACUUCAGGGAUCCUGAGCCUUUUACCCUAUUCUGUACUGUGUGUGAGGGAUUAAAGAGCUUUUCCACUAUAUUGAAUAUUAUUCUCCUUCUUUAGAAUUGAAAGAGAAAGAAAAUCCAGCUGCACUUUCUCUUCCAGGAUUUAAGUGGGACAUGUUGAGGUAGUCUCUGCUGUGAUUUAUAUGCACCAAUCAUAUCUGAAGGGGAGUAUGAAUAACACUUGUCAAGAAGAGACUGUGGCACAUCCACCUCUCUCCUCAUUAUUGAUCCCAUGGGCAGAGAGGUUUUGUCAUAAGCCUCUUCAGCCUCGUGGCCUUCCGUUGAGGGGCUAGAACAGUGCCAGGCAGGGAUAUGACAACCCAAGGAGGGAGCUCUACGGUCACUCCAGGCCAAUUCUCCUGCUGGGACCAGGGGAAACUUCUCAGUGCAUCACAAGCCCCAAAAUACCCUGAGCUUCACUGCACAUGACCAGUCUCCUUGGUGCCCCCAGAUUUGUGUGUGUGACAUGACAGGAUAUUUUUUUGGUAAGAAGCAUAUACAAGACCCCAAAAAGCAGUCCCUUAGCACCAGUAGGCCAUUAUAACACACCAGAGGAGAUUUCUUGCUCCUUCUUAUUAUCACCACUUCAAGCAGUUUGAUAAACAGUGAAUUGAGGAAAAACUUUAUGUCUGUGGCCUAAACCUUCCAAGGGCAUGGGAGCAACAGCUCAUAUGAAGACCAGGUUUAGUUCCUGGCAUUCAUGAUUAAGGAUCCAACAACCCAUCGAGGACUGAGGGAUCACAUCUGCACCAGCUCCAUCACAACCCUCUGGUAUGCAGCACUUCACAGUGAUUACUCAGUAUGCUGUCAAACCUGGUCCAUGCCCCCAAAAUAAUACUAACAUCACGAGCAGGUACAUUGUAUGCUCUAGAAAAAGCACAAGAAGUACAUCUAGAGCACCAGUUCCUCUUGUUUCUACCCAUCCAACCCCUUAUAUCAAUGCUUUCCUCACAAAACUGGAGUAGGAUAAUUAGAUGUUCAGACAAGGCUCCUGUUAGUUCCACCCCCCUCCUUCAAUAUUGGAGUAGAACACAUGUUGUUUUGAGAGCUCUGGAUUAUUCUGAUCAUGACAGAAGGGUCUUGGAGGAGCACUGGGUCAGACCCUUUAUAGGCUCCAUGUAAUGAUAUUUGUCACAGAGGGAUCCAGUAGUUCUCCAACACAAAAAUAUGAGAUGGAUUAUGUGACAGGAAUAACACGGGAGUUUUCUUAGACUGACAGAAAAAUCCCCAUUUAUGACUCAUUUAGUCACAUGCUGUCGAAUAUUUUCACCUGAGUCUAGGCCUUGGUGCCAGGCCAGGUGUCAGCUGUCCUUGCUGCAUCCACCAAGGUGAUUACUGAGCAAUGCCCUGAGCUGCCUAGUCCCGCUCAUAAUGAUAAGCCUCCAGCGGUACUGAAUACCCAGAUAGGUACAACCCUUCAAGACGAGUUUGUGCUUCUAAACUAUCUGUUAAAAAGGUGAAAUUCAGCAAAUCUCAUGGUGCGGUUCCCUCUCUUUAUAUGGCACAAAGGCAUCAUUCUGGGUACAGGUUGAGUCAUUGCUCUUUUUUAAUACCAAAGGAAUUUACACGGCAAAGUACUAGUCGUCCCGAUCCUGUGUAUGUAGCAUCACAACUAGCAGCCAUGGGGUGGUCGUUUUGUCACAAAAGAGAGAAGUGUAACACCAAGGUGAAGAGUAAGCAGUGAGAGGAGCUGAAUGCUGUAAAAAUGUGCAUCUGGUUUUGAGAUCAAUACUGCUGUACAUAAAAGCACCAUGUUAUCAGCUGUCCUGGCUUAGUAUGUUUUCCACACAUUGCUGUGCUGUUCUGACUUAUGCUUUUGGGGUCACCCAGGAAACCCUGCUGGAGACAGCAAGUCAAAAGCUUAGGCAAGACUCAAUGCUAGCCCAUUAAGAUGUGUGGUUUUCCUCUUCCUGGAUGCUAGAUCAGCCUAGCUCAGCUGUCAUGCAGUGUAAGAAAGUGGCUUGUCCCCAGGCCUCUGGAGAAUAUGCGUUGGAAGGAAAACAUGAUGCAAGUAAGGAUGACUCUGUACAGGCUGGUUAGGAUUCAAAAGCUGAGGUCAAUGUUGUCUUGAAUUCAGCUCCAUCUCCAAGACUACUAGUGAGUUGUCCUGGACAGUUUCUACCUCGUCCCUUAGAGAAGAGAGUGUUUAGAGGGAAGGAGAUGUAUUAUUAUUUCCACAGAGAUAAGAUCCAGGCCACCUGGCUCAGCUACAGCAUGGCUCUUUUGCACUCAGUAUUAAGCAUGCAGAGACCAUCUCAGGCUAAGCAUACAGCUUUUUGAUCCAGUCCCAACAAUGCUGCUGCAAACCCUGCUGGGAAUGCAGCCUGGCUGUAUCUGAGGAGAGGGAACACUGGGACCCUUCUGGUGGCUGCUACUGCUCUGUUAAUGAGGCAGUGCCACCCUGAAACCAAUGUUUCUCUAAUGAGAAGGAGUACAGGACACAUGGUGAGAUAUCUGGAUAAGGAAGAGGAUACAGACUCAGUAGCUUCAGGUUACCGUAUCACCUUAGCCAGAAAUUUGCAAUGUUAACAGGUCGACUUUACAUAAUUUGUAGGUAGGAGGUUCAAAGAGUGUCUUUCCCAUCUUCACCAGCAGCAUCCUCUGAGUUGACCAUCUCUUUUUGUGCCACAUCUUCACUGCCAUCACUGUGUGGUGUGUUCUCAGGGCCAAGGAAUGGGGUCCUUUGCCCAUCUUCCCUCCUGUGCUGAGGGACACCCUGUGCAACUGGCUUGUGCACGAUUGCUUGAGUCGCUUUGGUAGCUCAGAUCCAUUCCUCACCAUGAUAUCACGUUGCUGCUGUGCCUUUAUAUUUGUGUCUGUUUUCCUGACGCCACUGCCUUCAGUGCCUGUUUCUGUUGACUACACAAAUCCACUCUGUUGGCUGCUGGAUCCCGCUUUGGUCCCCACAUGAACUCUAGAAAACAACUCUGUGCUGCUGCUAUCUGCAUGGAUUCACCUGCCACACCUCGGACAGAUGGACACGCUUGGCAAUGAAUGCAGCCACCCGGGCCCUGCCCAGGCACUGCACCUGCCAUGUGCCUUGGGGAAUCCCUUUCCCGGUCCCUUUAUCCAUCAACACCUGCCCAAGAGCUUACAACAAACCAGUUGGAGUCAGAGACAAAGAUGAUUCACCCUUUUGCAGACAUCUAAAGUGUGAAAUCGGGAUGAUCUUGUCUUAUACAUGAAGCGAUGAGUAAGAGCAUCUAUGGAGGGAAAGGUAGUACUUGUCAUGAGCAUCACUCCUACAGCUGAGGGAAAGAAACAAGCCUUUUCAGGGAGUUUUAAAUUUUGAAUCCAGACCUAAAAGUCAUGUUCAUGUGUAUCUAUUUCAAUAUAAUAAGAAGAUGCCAGUUAAUUUCAGGUCUUUUGUCUGGGGGGAGGUAAGAACUGGGAAGUUAUUAUAACCCACCCUUUGUGGUGUCAUUCAACCUGCCAAACCACAAUAUGUCUGGGUAGCUCCACAUAAACACCACUGAGUCAAAUCAAAGAUUAUAUUUGGUCUCUAACAAGUCUGUUUCAUUUUCUAAUUUUGUGACAUGAGCUACACUGGUGCCUAAGUGGGAAGCAAACAUGAUGAGUAUAUAAACAAAAUAGGGAAUAUGAGUCAGAUACAGCAUUCAAGUCACUGGAAACAAGCCACAUACUCUCAGGAUUGUGAUUGUGAGGAUCAGCAAGUUUUGGUGGGCCCUGUGCUAGGGAUGCAUCUAGUAGAGAAGACCUUGCAAGGGUCUUGCAUGGUGGUCAAAACGGCAGAAGUCACAGACCAGUAUGGUCACUAGAAGAAGGCUUUGCCAUACGGCAUUUUGUGCCUAGUGUACAGAAAGGACAAGAAAUAUGUCACUUUUUCAAAAUCUAACACUGGUGCUUUUUUUCUCCUCCCACAAAAUGCCCUUUGUGGAACAUGCAGUCAUGAGCCUUACUAAUUGGCUUCAUCUCGAGGAUAAAGAUUUCCUUUCUGGAACCAGUUGGCAAAUAUUCUCCUGAAUUUGUCUCUCUAAUUUGGACAAGCAACUCUUCUCUUUCCUCAGGUUGUUUGGGAUGUAAGUUUUCCUACUUAGCCUUGAGGGCUUUAACAGAUUUUAGGGGCUCCUUCUUCUGAAGGAGAAGUGAAGUGACAUUUUAAUUAAGAGGAGAUAAUAACUCCGUGAGAACUAAAGCCGGAUCCCACUUUUGUCUUCAGUCCAGCUAAUGACCAACCACCCCCCUUAGUCCUGCCUGUGGGAAGGAAGUCCCAGUGUCUGGAAACUGGCAGACCAGGGGCCCUGAGUUCACGGUGGUGAGAGCAAUGUUGGCAAAUUAAUCUCAUUUUCUUGACUUCCUGCUGAAAAUUGCAAUCUAAACUUUUGAACGUUGUUACUAGUUGGCUGGUUCUUCUCCCUGACACUUCCUUGUCCAUUUCAUUUUAACAAUCUUUGUUGUUUUUUUUUUGGUUUUUUUUUCAGGGAAAAAUCCUUUCUUGGCAGCUGUAACUAUUGCAAGAACUACUGAGCAACAUGUUUUUAUCUAGACAGCUGACCAAGACAGGUUAAUUGGUGCUAUUUCUGUAUGCCUGUAUAAAAAAUUGUUUGCCAUGCCUUUGCCCUUUUGAAUGAAUACAGUUAUAGGUGCAUAGGUUUUUCCUUAAUGACCAUACAUGGAUUCAAAUUAGAUUAGAUAAAGAUGAUUUCAGGCUAUUUUUUCUCUUGUUCAGCCACUGGUGUCUGUCCUGAUCAUCUAGCUGUAAUUUGUUCAGAAGCAUUAUUUCAGGCAUCUCUUCAAUAAAUGUGAUCAUUUUCAGUUAAUGUGUUUCUUCUUGAUGAUAUAAAGCCAAAGUCUGUUAUCAGACAUAGACCACCAAACUGAAUGGGUCAAAAGCAUAAGCCUAUUGAUUGUGCAGGAAAACAGCAUAUUUGAAGGGUUGAACAUGAGUAACUAGGGCUUCCAAAUCCCAGUGUAGCUGUGAAACAUGACCCCAGCAAUAUAAGAACAUUUUGUCCCCUCUUUGGCUUGAGGAAGGUGAUAAAAGGUAAAAAGGCAUUUGAACCGGACUCCAGCCCAUUCCUAAGUCAAGAGCUGCCUCUGGCUUCUGGGGUUCAGGACAGCAAAUCUCAUUCAGUGCCAGGAGCAGAGAAAGCAAAACUGACUAUUAUCUGUCAUUUCAUUGCCUUUGUGCUUUGUGGCCUGAAUCUCACAAAGCCCAUUGCAAGGAGCACACUGAGACCUCUUACCCAUCACGACCACCCUUGAGACAUUGUUGAACUUUAUUGCAGAAGAGUCUAAGGAGACACUGAGCCCAUCAGCUGCUUCCCCUGGCUCAGUGUACAGUCUUUUCAUACUGUUCUUUUAUGAGUUUGUGGCUGUUGCUAUCUCCCCAUUGAACAGCACUUCUUUGGUAUGAAACUGCUAUCAACAGUGACAGUUAUGAUUACCAUCUUCGCUUCUUUUGAUUAUUUCUAUUACUCCACUAUUUCUUCACCUGUCAUGGCUUACUAAUAGAGUAUGCACCUCUGUUUUGGGUCAAGUCUGCCUGUCUUCAGUCCUUCUCCAUGACAAUCACAAUCUAUCUUAAACCAGACUUGAAAUGUGUAAUAGAAGUUGAAACAUUUAUUUGAAAACACUUUUAUUGUGCUGGUCUUAUUACACAGAAUUAGAGGAAAAAACAAAUCACCAAAACUCAGAGCUAACACAAUUCCUCUGGUAGUUAGAAUUUGAAAGCUAAGCAAUUAGAAUAGCUGACACAGAUAUCCUUGACAAAAGUCAGAUUUAUUUGUCUAGCUAAGUGCUACAAUGCAAAGAUUUUAAAACCGAUGUUCUUCUUGAGUUCAGUGCAAGAAGUUCUAGUUAGAGAGACUAGGAGGUCCUCCGUAUACCGUAUAGAGCCCAUGCCAUUAUGUUACAACAGGGCUAGAGAGACUGUCAGAGCUGUUCAAGGAUGAACAUGAUGAACAAAAGGGUGAGGCUGUUGCAGACAAGGAUGCUCCAUGAUCCUGCUCUUCUUUUUGUCUCUUCUCACAAAAAUGCACAAACAUUAGAUAAGAACUGCUGACAAGUGCAAAAAGAAAACCACCUAGGUGGCAAGGAAUGAAGAGAAAUAUGAGAAGGAGAAGGGGAAGCUAGACUCACAAAAUCUGAAUUGUGCAUUGUAGAGUGAUUGCACAGGGUGAGGAGAGAGACUUGAUGGGAGAUUAUAAACACAUCACAUCAGCAGCAGUGAAAGAGGGAAUCAGAAGACAGUAAAACAAAAAGAAAUAACUGGUGCCAAGGACAAAUUAGUUUUGCAGCUCUCUACCACCAGUCGUGGAUGCCCCAGGAGCAGGAAAGCAGGAUGGAAUCCUUCUCGUCAGCCUGUCAGACACAUGAAGCGGGGACACCUUCGCAGCCCAGCGGUGGUCCUGGCAGCUCUCCUUGCUAUAGUGACACUGGCAGCGUGUGUGGCUCCAUUACUGACCGGGAGCCACUGGAUGCGC
Columba livia (rock pigeon) is the source of this 12536-nucleotide long non-coding RNA. RefSeq lists it as uncharacterized. The transcript has 3 exons. The record is from RefSeq and is a predicted model, not a curated record. NCBI's taxonomy places the organism in Eukaryota, Metazoa, Chordata, Aves, Columbiformes, Columbidae.